This 350-nucleotide unclassified non-coding RNA is filed under the name plant metagenome. RNAcentral describes it as "partial contains 5.8S ribosomal RNA, internal transcribed spacer 2, and large subunit ribosomal RNA". The stretch from base 1 to 105 matches the Rfam family "5.8S ribosomal RNA", at positions 50 to 154 of the family's 154-position model. The record is from RNAcentral.
GAAAUGCGAUAAGUAAUGUGAAUUGCAGAGUUCAGUGAAUCAUCGAAUCUUUGAACGCACCUUGCGCUCCUUGGUAUUCCGAGGAGCAUGCCUGUUUGAGUGUCAUGGAAUUCUCAACUCUAUUUGCUUUUGUGAAUAGAGCUUGGAUUUGGAGGUUUAUUGCUGGUACUUGUGAUCGGCUCCUCUUGAAUGCAUUAGCUCGAACCUUUGCGGAUCAGCUAUCGGUGUGAUAAUUGUCUACGCCGUUGCAGUGAAGCAUAUCAAUGGGCUCGGCUUCCAAUCGUCCUUUACUGGACAAUGACUUUGACCUUUGACCUCAAAUCAGGUAGGAUUACCCGCUGAACUUAAGC